GAUGAACGCUGGCGGCGUGCCUAAUACAUGCAAGUCGAGCGAAUGGAUUAAGAGCUUGCUCUUAUGAAGUUAGCGGCGGACGGGUGAGUAACACGUGGGUAACCUGCCCAUAAGACUGGGAUAACUCCGGGAAACCGGGGCUAAUACCGGAUAACAUUUUGAACCGCAUGGUUCGAAAUUGAAAGGCGGCUUCGGCUGUCACUUAUGGAUGGACCCGCGUCGCAUUAGCUAGUUGGUGAGGUAACGGCUCACCAAGGCAGCGAUGCGGAGCCGACCUGAGAGGGUGAUCGGCCACACUGGGACUGAGACACGGCCCAGACUCCUACGGGAGGCAGCAGUAGGGAAUCUUCCGCAAUGGACGAAAGUCUGACGGAGCAACGCCGCGUGAGUGAUGAAGGCUUUCGGGUCGUAAAACUCUGUUGUUAGGGAAGAACAAGUGCUAGUUGAAUAAGCUGGCACCUUGACGGUACCUAACCAGAAAGCCACGGCUAACUACGUGCCAGCCGCCGCCGUAC
Molecule: ribosomal RNA, 515 nt
Filed under: uncultured bacterium
Lineage: Bacteria
Description: partial 16S ribosomal RNA
Rfam family: Bacterial small subunit ribosomal RNA
Source: RNAcentral